GUCCUCAACUGACGCUAAUGCUCGAAAGUGCGGGUAUCGAACAGGAUUAGAUACCCUGGUAGUCCGCACGGUAAACGAUGGAUGCCCGCUGUUGGCGAUAUAUUGUCAGCAGCCAAGCGAAAGCGUUAAGCAUCCCACCUGGGGAGUACGCCGGCAACGGUGAAACUCAAAGGAAUUGACGGGGGCCCGCACAAGCGGAGGAACAUGUGGUUUAAUUCGAUGAUACGCGAGGAACCUUACCCGGGCUUGAACUGCAGCAGAACGAUAGAGAGAUCUUGAGGCCCUUCGGGGCUGCUGUGGAGGUGCUGCAUGGUUGUCGUCAGCUCGUGCCGUGAGGUGUCGGCUUAAGUGCCAUAACGAGCGCAACCCCUUCCGUCAGUUGCCAUCACUUUGGGUGGGCACUCUGGCGGUACUGCCACCGUAAGGUGUGAGGAAGGUGGGGAUGACGUCAAAUCAGCACGGCCCUUACGUCCGGGGCUACACACGUGUUACAAUGGGUGGUACAGAGAGUCGGUCGUAUGCAAAUGCGAUCUAAUCAAUAAAGCCAUCCUCAGUUCGGAUUGGGGUCUGCAACCCGACCCCAUGAAGCUGGAUUCGCUAG
This 601-nucleotide ribosomal RNA is filed under the name uncultured bacterium. Its description in RNAcentral is "bacterial SSU rRNA". It matches the Rfam family "Bacterial small subunit ribosomal RNA", at positions 732 to 1338 of the family's 1533-position model. The record is from RNAcentral.